Molecule: ribosomal RNA, 35 nt
Filed under: Tricholoma fulvocastaneum
Lineage: Eukaryota; Fungi; Basidiomycota; Agaricomycetes; Agaricales; Tricholomataceae
Description: partial 5.8S rRNA
Source: RNAcentral
UGGUAUUCCGAGGAGCAUGCCUGUUGAGUGUCAUG